GACGAACGCUGGCGGCGUGCUUAACACAUGCAAGUCGAACGAUGAUCAGGAGCUUGCUCCUGUGAUUAGUGGCGAACGGGUGAGUAACACGUGAGUAACCUGCCCCUGACUCUGGGAUAAGCGUUGGAAACGACGUCUAAUACUGGAUAUGAUCACUGGCCGCAUGGUCUGGUGGUGGAAAGAUUUUUUGGUUGGGGAUGGACUCGCGGCCUAUCAGCUUGUUGGUGAGGUAAUGGCUCACCAAGGCGACGACGGGUAGCCGGCCUGAGAGGGUGACCGGCCACACUGGGACUGAGACACGGCCCAGACUCCUACGGGAGGCAGCAGUGGGGAAUAUUGCACAAUGGGCGAAAGCCUGAUGCAGCAACGCCGCGUGAGGGAUGACGGCCUUCGGGUUGUAAACCUCUUUUAGUAGGGAAGAAGCGAAAGUGACGGUACCUGCAGAAAAAGCACCGGCUAACUACGUG
This 467-nucleotide ribosomal RNA is filed under the name uncultured bacterium. Its description in RNAcentral is "partial 16S ribosomal RNA". It matches the Rfam family "Bacterial small subunit ribosomal RNA", at positions 28 to 507 of the family's 1533-position model. The record is from RNAcentral.